Long non-coding RNA from Antechinus flavipes (yellow-footed antechinus), 2198 nucleotides. RefSeq lists it as uncharacterized. The transcript has 2 exons. The record is from RefSeq and is a predicted model, not a curated record. Lineage: Eukaryota; Metazoa; Chordata; Mammalia; Dasyuromorphia; Dasyuridae.
AAAGCCAAAUGUAAUUUAGAAAGAAAAGACCCUUUCCCAAAGGCACAAAUUGGCAACUUCACCAAAAUGGAGCAUGUGAACAUUUUUUAAAGACUGAGUCUGAGACUAAUGCCAAUUUUAAUCAUUACAAGAUCAUUUUGGCAAAACUAUGUUUUUUUCAGUUACUUUUGAAAAUGACAAAAUUUUGCCUGCAGACCAGGACACAAAUACUGUAUUAUCAAGAAACUCACUAAUUCAUUCUCUUAUCACCUACAGGUUAAAUGUGUGCCCUACCACUUCCCAGUCUUGGAGUGUUUUACCUAUGAUUGUUUGCUAUGAUGACCUACCAUCAUAAAGAAAAAAUUCAAGAAUGUGGUUCCUGAUUUUCUCUACAGAAACAGCAUGUCAGACAACUCUUGGGAGUCAUUUCUCAACCAACCCAUAGCACAGCAACAAGUUCAAAGUCCCAAUUCCACAUUCUAAAUGGUGAGGUGACCGUUACAUCAGGAUCAUUCCAGGUCUGAUGGGUGAUCCUCAAGGUCUGGAGAACCGCUACGAGUGGAAUCACUUCUUCUCUUUACAUGUAAUAACAAUAACCUACUACUAUGCCUAAGAAAUAGCAUAAAAAUCACCAGCAAUUUCUACCCAAAGGUGGUCAAAGGAGUUGUGCAUGGAGCCCAAAUGAGACACAGUGAGGGGGCAGGGAAGUGUACUGUGGGCAGCGGCAGCCCUGGGGGAACACACCCCUCAGAGGACCCAAUUGCUAUCCCCAGCACCCACUGGCUCCUGGCUGCCUUGGACUGCUCUGUAUGUUCGAACAUCACCAAAUGUUUGGGGUUUUUUUCCCCUUUAAUUUUUAAAGAUUAACUUUAACUUCCAGGAAUAAAUACCAGUGACCAAAACAAAAGCAUGAGGGAAUUAAACAAAUUUAAAGCACAAAAAUUGCUAAUGAUCAUUUGUCUUCUCUCAAACCCCAAGAUGCCUAUACCACAGUGUGGAAGAACACCAAUUUUGCAGCUCCCAGGUCUCUCCAAAGAGCUUUCCUUGUUUUUUGAGGAUUAAUUAAUUGGGAAACUUUUGCAAGUACCUAUUCUUUAAAAACCACAGAACUUAAAAUAUUACUAAAAAAAAAAAAAGUAAUUAAGUAUGUACGGUACAUGGCACUCAACAGAGAACUUUCAACCUGGCUUCAUCUGAUCAAGACAGUCAAACAUCACAAACCGUAUGCCCACUUGGACACGCCGUCACAAAAUGAAAUCUUGCUGAAUUUCAGCUUGUUUACCCCACUGAGGCUGGCUCAGAAAAGGGCAUGUGACUUAUACAAGAUCCCACAGCCUGGGCUUUACCUUCUGGCCCUCGGGCUCCAAAUCCAGCACUCAACCAUGGUCUAUACUGUUAAUAAGUUUCUGGGUCAAAGGGCAGGUGCACACCAUUGGAGAUCUGAAAACACAAUCCUUCUAAGGAACUUUCUGAAAGGGAGAAGUGAACCCAAUGCCAUAGAAGCAUUAGAGGGCACAUUUAUUUGAUCAUGGCUGCAUCCUGACUGAAUUUUGUUCUUCUAUUAUCUUUGCAAAUUUGAUGGAUGCCAAACAGAUCUCAGAGUUGUUCUAAUUUCCACUUGUCUGAUUUAAUAAGGUUCUUUCCUUUGAGACUUGUUCAUUCAUGUUCUUUUUAUCACUCAUCCUCUGAUGAAGGCUGUUUUAAAUGUUCAUUCCUUAUAAACUCUGCACAUAAGACUUUUCCUGAAAGUUAAAUGCAAAGAUUUUUACCUUUCUUCUCUUCCCCUCUCCCCCCCAAUUUGUUUCUCUCCUUGUCUUAAAUGGAUGCAAAUACUUCUAAAUUUUCAUAUAAUCAGAUGUACUCUGUGUAGCUACACCCUACAUUUAGUAAGGGUAAGUCUUAUUUCCCCCUUCAUCUUAUAGAUGAAGAGACCAGGCCCAGGAGGCCAGGCCAAACAGGAAUUAGCAGCACAGGAGGAAUCUGAACUGAAGUCUUCUGAACCCCAUGCUCUUUCCAAUGGACGAAGUUACCACUCGAAAGAAAUGACUGACCAGAGGUAGAAGCUGUAAUUUUCCUGUUCAAUUCAGUUCAAGCUUGAACAAGUGAAGAGGAAAUCAUCAAUGAAAAGAUCAUAUCCCCCCCAAAAUUCUGUGUAUACUUUUUGAUUAUGUAACUUGGACUUUUUGAUUAUGCAUAUGAUAAACUGAAAUAUCAAGGUU